AAUACAUGCAAGUAGAACGCUGAAGGAGGAGCUUGCUUCUCUGGAUGAGUUGCGAACGGGUGAGUAACGCGUAGGUAACCUGCCUGGUAGCGGGGGAUAACUAUUGGAAACGAUAGCUAAUACCGCAUAAUAGUAGAUGUUGCAUGACAUUUGCUUAAAAGGUGCAAUUGCAUCACUACCAGAUGGACCUGCGUUGUAUUAGCUAGUUGGUGGGGUAACGGCUCACCAAGGCGACGAUACAUAGCCGACCUGAGAGGGUGAUCGGCCACACUGGGACUGAGACACGGCCCAGACUCCGACGGGAGGCAGCAGUAGGGAAUCUUCGGCAAUGGACGGAAGUCUGACCGAGCAACGCCGCGUGAGUGAAGAAGGUUUUCGGAUCGUAAAGCUCUGUUGUAAGAGAAGAACGAGUGUGAGAGUGGAAAGUUCACACUGUGACGGUAUCUUACCAGAAAGGGACGGCUAACUACGUGCCAGCAGCCGCGGUAAUACGUAGGUCCCGAGCGUUGUCCGGAUUUAUUGGGCGUAAAGCGAGCGCAGGCGGUUAGAUAAGUCUGAAGUUAAAGGCUGUGGCUUAACCAUAGUACGCUUUGGAAACUGUUUAACUUGAGUGCAAGAGGGGAGAGUGGAAUUCCAUGUGUAGCGGUGAAAUGCGUAGAUAUAUGGAGGAACACCGGUGGCGAAAGCGGCUCUCUGGCUUGUAACUGACGCUGAGGCUCGAAAGCGUGGGGAGCAAACAGGAUUAGAUACCCUGGUAGUCCACGCCGUAAACGAUGAGUGCUAGGUGUUAGACCCUUUCCGGGGUUUAGUGCCGCAGCUAACGCAUUAAGCACUCCGCCUGGGGAGUACGACCGCAAGGUUGAAACUCAAAGGAAUUGACGGGGGCCCGCACAAG
Molecule: ribosomal RNA, 895 nt
Filed under: uncultured bacterium
Lineage: Bacteria
Description: bacterial SSU rRNA
Rfam family: Bacterial small subunit ribosomal RNA
Source: RNAcentral